AGGUCGAGACAGCAGGCGGCUCAAGUGGACAGCCGGGAUGGCAGAGCGUGCGGCGCUGGAGGAGCUGGUGAAACUUCAGGGAGAGCGCGUGCGAGGCCUCAAGCAGCAGAAGGCCAGCGCCGAGCUGAUCGAGGAGGAGGUGGCGAAACUCCUGAAACUGAAGGCACAGCUGGGUCCUGAUGAAAGCAAACAGAAAUUUGUGCUCAAAACCCCCAAGGAAACACUGAUGGGAAAGUAUGGGGAAGACUCCAAGCUUAUCUAUGACCUGAAGGACCAGGGCGGGGAGCUCCUGUCCCUUCGCUAUGACCUCACUGUUCCUUUUGCUCGGUAUUUGGCAAUGAAUAAACUGACCAACAUUAAACGCUACCACAUAGCAAAGGUAUAUCGGCGGGAUAACCCAGCCAUGACCCGUGGCCGAUACCGGGAAUUCUACCAGUGUGUGAGUGUUGGGAAACCGUGGGGCAGGAUGAGUUACUUGGGGCUCUCUCAAGCCAGCAGAAUCUAUUGAGUACUCACGGUGUCCUGAGCAAAUUGGAUGACCCAGAUAAUGCUCUUAGGGUUUCUAUGGUGGUUUUUUUGUUUGUUUUUUGUUUUUUUGAGACGGAGUCUCGCUCUGUUGCCCAAGCUGGAGUGCAGUGGUGCAGUCUUGGCUCACUGCAACCUCUGCCUCCUGGGUUCAAACGAUUCUUCUGCCUCAGCCACCUGAGUAGCUGGGAUUACAGGCGCCUGCCACUAUGCCCGGCUAAUUUUUUGUAUUUUUAGUAGAGACAGGGUUUUACCAUGUUGGCCAGGCUGGUCUCGAACUCCUGGUCUCGUGAUCCGCCUGCCUCGGCCUCCCAAAGUGCUGGGAUUACAGGCGUGAGCCACCGCACCCAGCCUCUUCUAUGGUGGUUUCAUGCAGAUUUCACAAAAUCCUUGUGGUGGGGGAGGAGAAUAAAGUCUCUCCAUUUUACAUAUGAGUAAACUUGAUACCCAGCAGAUGAAGAGAUCAUAGGGAUAAGAAAGGCAAAGUCAGGACUAGAACUCUUGGUCCAGUGCUCUUUAUUUUAAACCACAGUGAUAGGAUCACAGCAGAGAAUAAGGAAAUUAGCUUUGAUACAUCAAAUCAUCCAGACUGAUGCCAGGGCUUCUGGAUGAAUAGGGAAAAUGGCUAAGCACUAAAGCCAUAUAAUCACCCCAUCCAGUAGGAGGAGUUAAGAAGAUGAUGAAGUAGAAAAUGAAGGAAUAGCCCAGUAGAUGGAAAGGAAACCAAAACUGGUGAGAAGCCCAAAGAUGCCGGGGUUUACCUCUGGGCUGAUGAUCAGAAAAUGAAAGAGAAAUUCUAUGCUUGAGUGCAACCAGGCCUUCCUAGAGGACAGAGCUCCCAGAGUCCCCCCUUCAGAAAGGUGAAUCCCUGAAGACCGCUGGCUAACCCUCUCCCUGCAGGAUUUUGACAUUGCUGGGAACUUUGAUCCCAUGAUCCCUGAUGCAGAGUGCCUGAAGAUCAUGUGCGAGAUCCUGAGUUCACUUCAGAUAGGCGACUUCCUGGUCAAGGUCAGAGCUGACAAGGCUGGGAGGGCAAAGUUGGGCCUGGCCUCUCACAAGAGAAGAUCCUUGUGCAGAGGGACCAGUAGCCUAAGUGGCCAUGACUAUUGCAGGUCAUGUAAGAAAAGAGAUUCCCCCCUCACUAUGCAUUGGUUCCUUGCAGGUAAACGAUCGACGCAUUCUAGAUGGGAUGUUUGCUAUCUGUGGUGUUUCUGACAGCAAGUUCCGUACCAUCUGCUCCUCAGUAGACAAGCUGGACAAGGUGUCCUGGGAAGAGGUGAAGAAUGAGAUGGUGGGAGAGAAGGGCCUUGCACCCGAGGUGGCUGACCGCAUUGGGGACUAUGUCCAGCAACAUGGUGGGGUAUCCCUGGUGGAACAGCUGCUCCAGGAUCCUAAACUAUCCCAAAACAAGCAGGCCUUGGAGGGCCUGGGAGACCUGAAGUUGCUCUUUGAGUACCUGACCCUAUUUGGCAUUGAUGACAAAAUCUCCUUUGACCUGAGCCUUGCUCGAGGGCUGGAUUACUACACUGGGGUGAUCUAUGAGGCAGUGCUGCUACAGACCCCAGCCCAGGCAGGGGAAGAGCCCCUGGGUGUGGGCAGUGUGGCUGCUGGAGGACGCUAUGAUGGGCUAGUGGGCAUGUUCGACCCCAAAGGGCGCAAGGUGCCAUGUGUGGGGCUCAGCAUUGGGGUGGAGCGGAUUUUCUCCAUCGUGGAACAGAGACUAGAGGUAGGUCCUAGGAGGUGGGUAGAAGAUAGUCUGAGCAGGUGGUGGCACCUAAGCUAUCUGAUCUCCAAGGGAGCAAGUGGUGCUGCUUUGGGCAGGGAGCAUCUCACAGAAAUGGAGAAAAGAUUAUUGCUCUUUUUCACAGAUUUCUACCCCAUUAUAUGUAAGUUUUAUGGAUCUUUAAUCCAUAAUCUUUCUGCACUCAAUCCUCUGCUCUGGGUCUCUACUUCCUUCAGGGCUGUCACAAACCUGGGCUGGUGUAUCCAAGACUUAGAUCUUCCUCAUGAUACAGAAUACUUAACAUUUUACUGCCUUGUGCCAGGCACUGUGCUUGGUGCUUUUCAUGCAUUAUCAAAAUAUAAUUGUUACUACAGCCCUGUGAGAGUAGCUAGUUUUAUUAAUUGCAUUUUCCAGAUGAGAACACUGAAGCAUUAUAGAUCAAAUAAUUUGCUUAAGGCCAUGAAACUUGUAAGUGGUAGAGUCAGAAUUUGAAUCCAGGCAGUCUGACUCCAAAGUCUUGCCACUAACCACACUGCAAUACUGUCUCUAAAUGGGAAGCAUGUGUCUGAGGCCCUGGGAUCCCUCAGAUGGCUACCGUGACUCUCUAGCACCUAGAGUAACACCAAGGAAGCCUCUUGUAGCCUCAAGCCCUCCUUUGUUGCUGCUGGUCUUAAGUGGCUGGUUGCAUUUCAUCUUCUGGGAAAUGCUCUGGCAACCUCCCCACGGUCCUAUGCCUUUUCUCUAGGGUGGAAACCACCCAUUUCCCAGUUGAGAUCAUUUUUCCAGUAGGCAUCUUACAUUCUAAGAACUAUGAAAAUAGUUUUCCUGAAAAAGACAAGGGAAGCAGCAGCAGCAUUCUCCUUUCCCCACACCCAUAUACACGCCUGUGCCCUGUAACUGAAGUGUGAGAGGCACAGUGUCAUAAAUGGGUAGAUAGUAAGUGGGGACUAAAACUGUCAAGGGUGAUCUAAUUGGGGUGGGCUCAUAGUAGUACUUCUGUGUGAAUGCUUUGGUGGACCCUUAAGGUACUACAUGGACCAGCCUGGGCAACAUGAUGAGACCCUGUCUCUACAGAUUUUAAAAAAAAAAAAUUUUUUUUUUUUUUUUUAAUUAGCUGAGUAUGUUGGUGUGUGCCUGUAGUCAGGAGGCUGAGGUGGGAGGAUCACUUGAGCUUGGGAGGUCGAAGCUGCAGUGAUCACACCACGGCACUUCAGCCUGGAUGACAGAGACCCUGUCUC
Molecule: small RNA, 3486 nt
Filed under: Pan troglodytes (chimpanzee)
Lineage: Eukaryota; Metazoa; Chordata; Mammalia; Primates; Hominidae
Description: retained intron
Source: RNAcentral